UUCAAUACAACAAUACAACACAGACAUGACAUUGAACAUUCAAUACAACAAUACACAACAUAGACAUGACAUUGAACAUUCAAUACAACAAUAACACAACAUAGACAUGACAUUGAACAUUCAAUACAACAAUACAACACAGACAUGACAUUGAACAUUGAAUACAACAAUACACAACAUAGACAUGACAUUGAACAUUCAAUACAACAAUACACAACAUAUACAUGACAUUGAACAUUCAAUACAACAAUACAACACAGACAUGACAUUGAACAUUCAAUACAACAAUACACAACAUAGCCAUGACAUUGAACAUUCAAUACAACAAUACACAACAUAGCCAUGACAUUGAACAUUCAAUACAACAAUACAACACAGACAUGACAUUGAACAUUCAAUACAACAAUACACAACAUAGACAUGACAUUGAACAUUCAAUACAACAAUACACAACAUAGACAUGACAUUGAACAUUCAAUACAACAAUACACCACAUAGACAUGACAUUGAACAUUCAAUACAACAAUACACAACAUAGCCAUGACAUUGAACAUUCAAUACAACAAUACACAACAUAGCCAUGACAUUGAACAUUCAAUACAACAAUACACAACAUAGCCAUGACAUUGAACAUUCAAUACAACAAUACACAACAUAGCCAUGACAUUGAACAUUCAAUACAACAAUACACAACAUAGCCAUGACAUUGAACAUUCAAUACAACAAUACACAACAUAGCCAUGACAUUGAACAUUCAACGCAACAAUACACAACAUAGACAUGACAUUGAACAUUCAAUACAACAAUACACCACAUAGACAUGACAUUGAACAUUCAAUACACAACAUAGACAUGACAUUGAACAUUCAAUACAACAAUACAACAUAGACAUGACAUUGAACAUUCAAUACAACAAUACAACACAGACAUGACAUUGAACAUUCAAUACAACAAUACACAACAUAGCCAUGACAUUGAACAUUCAAUACAACAAUACACAACAUAGCCAUGACAUUGAACAUUCAAUACAACAAUACACAACAUAGACAUGACAUUGAACAUUCAAUACAACAAUACACAACAUAGACAUGACAUUGAACAUUCAAUACAACAAUACACAACAUAGACAUGACAUUGAACAUUCAAUACAACAAUACACAACAUAGCCAUGACAUUGAACAUUCAACGCAACAGGUACCUGUAGAUGGGGAGCGAUACUGAAAGUCGUCUCCACAAGCUCCGGGGUAAAACAACUAAACUAGCAAGCUUUUCAAUAUUGUAACAGUUUGAAUUUUAGCACGAGAUUUGCUCAUCACUGGAGUGAUAUUGUAUAUAAUCGGUAAAGAAAAUAUAUUUUUAAACAUUUGAGAAUGGAAUAAAAUAUUGACACUUUUUUAAGGUGAAUACGAUGUUUUGAAUAUCUGUGUAAUAUGUAGUAUUCACUGAGUAGAAACUGAUUAGAGUUUUGGGAUGAAUAAUUUAAAGUACUUUGAUUGGCUAUGAUCUAAUAAACUAUGAAGAAAUAAAACAUUACAUUCACCUCCACGUGACUUCGAGAUGGAUAUAACAUUUCAUAUUUCCAACAUCGGAUCGUAAAUAAAUUUUGAACAUCUGAAUCGAUUCCAUUCCUUAUCAUUUUUCGAUGGCCGAGAGAAAUUUCUUGUUUCUAAUCAUAUUGACUUAGAAAUUAUAUCAAUAUUUGUUUUUCAAUUGUUGAUGGAAUCUACAUGGUAAGUUCAAUUCUACAUUAUAUUUCUCAGUCCUAUUCAUUGAACAACGCUAACCUACCAUAUCCGCUAAAAGUAGUAAAUUACGUGAACUCAUUAAGUUUCAGGACCAUUCCCUACGUAUCGUGAACGGUCUGGGAGCCUCCCCGGGAGAAUGGUCAUGACAGGUGUCCCUCCAAUACUACAACCCCAGGACUUUUAUCAUAUUUGUGGAGGAUCUCUUGUCAGAGCAAACUGGGUUGUCACUGCUGCACACUGUGUUCAGUAGGUUGAAAUAUGCAAAUACAGAUGACUUGGUUAGGUCAGGAAUAUCGAAAACACUUUUUUCACAUCUUCCCUUCGUAUUACUGCAAUUAACAACUUGACAUAAUGGCAUCAACCUAAUUCAUAAAAUCUACCACAAUCAUGCACAUCUUUGAUGGUCGUAUAAUCUCAUCAGAACUGGAACAAACGAUGUGACGUCAAAAUUAUUGAUUUUUGUGGUCUUGAAUACAAAAGAGUUGCACAUCAUGGCAGCCUCUAUAUAUGGCGAAAAUUUCAAUUUGUAACGUUUUCAAAUUAGUAUUGAAGCUUAUCUAGGCCGCAUAUCAACAGAAUUAUAUGCAAGUAAAACUUUUUGUGCUGCCUUCCCCUUCAAUAUCAGUAUCAAUACUCCUUUGGAAAAAAAACCAUACGAAUUUGACCAGUCCUAACUGGGACUCGGACUUCGCGCGGCACUCAAAGUCUUUCCCCUGACGUAGGUCAAACGACAUCACACGUCAUCCCGAUGUUGAUUAAGGCCUAGACGCAUCAGUUUUUUUUAUAUACUAUAGUUGAAAUUAUUGAUGUUAAGGUUUAUAACUAAAUGUUCAAAUACAUGAUGAAGAUUGAU
Long non-coding RNA from Ostrea edulis (European flat oyster), 2598 nucleotides. RefSeq lists it as uncharacterized. The transcript is spliced from 2 exons. The record is from RefSeq and is a predicted model, not a curated record. Lineage: Eukaryota; Metazoa; Mollusca; Bivalvia; Ostreida; Ostreidae.